Molecule: ribosomal RNA, 253 nt
Filed under: uncultured bacterium
Lineage: Bacteria
Description: partial 16S ribosomal RNA
Rfam family: Bacterial small subunit ribosomal RNA
Source: RNAcentral
UACGGAGGAUGCAAGCGUUAUCCGGAAUGAUUGGGCGUAAAGCGUCCGCAGGUGGCUGUGUAAGUCUGCUGUCAAAGAGCAAAGCUCAACUUUGUAAAGGCAGUGGAAACUACACGGCUAGAGUGCGUUCGGGGCAGAGGGAAUUCCUGGUGUAGCGGUGAAAUGCGUAGAGAUCAGGAAGAACAACGGUGGCGAAGGCGCUCUGCUAGGCCGCAACUGACACUGAGGGACGAAAGCUAGGGGAGCGAAUGGG